Molecule: ribosomal RNA, 743 nt
Filed under: uncultured bacterium
Lineage: Bacteria
Description: bacterial SSU rRNA
Rfam family: Bacterial small subunit ribosomal RNA
Source: RNAcentral
GAUGAACGCUGGCGGCGUGCUUAACACAUGCAAGUCGAACGGAGUUUAAGAAGGAAGCUUGCUUUCAUUUUAAACUUAGUGGCGGACGGGUGAGUAACGCGUGAGGAACCUGCCCUUCAGUGGGGAACAACAACUAGAAAUGGUUGCUAAUACCGCAUAAUGUCGGAGAGCCGCAUGACUUUCCGACCAAAGGAUUUAUUCGCUGAAGGAUGGCCUCGCGUCCGAUUAGAUAGUUGGUGAGGUAACGGCCCACCAAGUCUACGAUCGGUAGCCGAACUGAGAGGUUGAUCGGCCACAUUGGGACUGAGACACGGCCCAGACUCCUACGGGAGGCAGCAGUGGGGAAUAUUGGGCAAUGGGCGAAAGCCUGACCCAGCAACGCCGCGUGAAGGAUGACGGUCUUCGGAUUGUAAACUUCUUUAAUUGGGGAAGAACAAAAUGACCUACCCAAAGAAUAAGUCACGGCUAACUACGUGCCAGCAGCCGCGGUAAUACGUAGGUGACAAGCGUUAUCCGGAUUUACUGGGCGUAAAGGGCGUGUAGGCGGUCUUGCAAGUCAGAAGUGAAAUUCCUGAGCUCAACUCGGGCGCUGCUUCUGAAACUGCAGGACUUGAGUGCUGGAGGGGAUAGCGGAAUUCCUAGUGGAGCGGUAAAAUGCGCAGAUAUUAGGAGGAACACCGGUGGCGAAGGCGGCUUACUGGACUGUAACUGACGUUGAGGCUCGAAAGCGUGGGGAGCAAACA